This is a long non-coding RNA of Ictalurus punctatus (channel catfish), 804 nucleotides long. The record is from Ensembl. Lineage: Eukaryota; Metazoa; Chordata; Actinopteri; Siluriformes; Ictaluridae.
CAAGGUUGGAGGGUUUUGGAGGGUUUUAGGGUUUCAGGGUUUUGGAGGGUUUUAGGGUCAGAGGGUUGGAGGGUUUUGGAGAGUUUUAAGGUUGGGGGGUUUUAGGGUUGGAGGGAUUUGGAGGGUUUAGGGGUUUUGGAGGGUUUUAGGGUCAGAAGGUUGGAGGGUUUUGGAGGGUUUUAGGGUCAGAAGGUUGGAGGGUUUUGGAGGGUUUUAGGGUCAGAAGGUUGGAGGGUUUUGGAGGGGUUUUAGGGUUGGAGGGUUUUAGGGUUUUAUGGCUGGAGGGUUUUGGAGUUACUGUUACCACACCGACGUUCCAAUAACAGCAUGUCUUGACAUCUUUUAAUCCUCUUCCACCACAGCAACUUGGCCGUGAUUACAUUAGUAAGAUUUAACGUUGUGGAACAUCUACGUAACAGGUUAUUUCCUGUUCUCACUUACAUUAUGGCAGCUUUAAACAGUUUUUCCCUCACCAGCCUCUCUUCUUUUAUUGAGCUGAAAGUUACCUCUUUUUACAAAAAAAAAUCACAUGAUUGAGCCUUGAACAACACUAUGGUAUAAAUUUACUUGUACCACAGUGGUGUUGAAUUCUCGAAUCUGAUUGGUGUUGAGGUGUUUCUUUCCUGUAACAGCAGCCUUGACUGUAGUACAGCUACCAAUCACAGGUUUAUAUUAAAGCUCUCGUUCUAAUACCUUAUCGUUUCGUACUUACACAGAGAUCGUAUCUGUAUCUGUUUUGAAAAGCAUGUCGUCGUUGACAUGGUGAGGUUCUCUGUUAGGAGAUGGUUGUUUAACAUUUAAGGA